UACGGGGGGGGUAAGCGUUGUUCGGAAUUACUGGGCGUAAAGGGCUCGUAGGCGGCCAACUAAGUCGGACGUGAAAUCCCCAGGCUCAACCUGGGAACUGCGUCCGAUACUGGAUGGCUUGAAUCCGGGAGAGGGAUGCAGAAUUCCAGGUGUAGCGGUGAAAUGCGUAGAUAUCUGGAGGAAUACCGGUGGCGAAGGCGGCAUCCUGGACCGGCAUUGACGCUGAGGAGCGAAAGCCAGGGGAGCAAACGGG
RNAcentral lists this ribosomal RNA (253 nucleotides) under uncultured bacterium. RNAcentral describes it as "partial 16S ribosomal RNA". It matches the Rfam family "Bacterial small subunit ribosomal RNA", at positions 524 to 776 of the family's 1533-position model. The record is from RNAcentral.